UUCCUCCUCUUCUCUGUGAUUCGAAGAUUUGGUCUUCUAAUUUCUGUGAGGCCUCUAAGAACGGAAGCGGCGGAGAAGGCGAAACCAGGCGUUUGAGGGAUCGGGGAGAAUGGCGACGGAGGAUAACUCCCAGAGCAUGGUGACGACGUACGAGAGGCUGGAAGGGGUGGCGAACUGGGUGGGGGGGAGCGUGGUCUCCGCCUUCUUCGCCUCCCUGGAUCGCUGCUCCUGCAUCAAUGUCAGCACCGCCGAGGACGACGGCGACGAGCCCGAGGAGGCCAACGACCGCCCCCUCAUGCUCACCAAGCCCGUCCUCCACGACGAGGAGGACGCCAAGCCCUCCCCCCGUUGAUCAUCUUCCUCAUCAUCACUAUGGGUACCUUGAAUCCUUGAAACCGAUCGGUUCGUGACAUCGUCAAUCUUCGAUCUCCUCUCUUUCAUCCGAUCUUUGGAAGUGUUUUCGUGAAAGAUGCCGUAUUCAUUUCUCGUGAUAAAACGCCUCUAUGCUUUAUUUAUUGUUCAUGUUGCUACGAUCGGGCUUUGGUUUCCGCUGAUUCUUGUUGUUCUCGUUAGCAAGUAUGCAUGUAGAGGACGAUGAUCCCAAUGUAUUCAUUGGAUCAAAGAUUGAAGUGCGUGUUUUGGUGACGUUGUCAUGAAUUAGGUUCUUGUAAUCGUUGUUGGCC
Non-coding RNA from Musa acuminata subsp. malaccensis (wild Malaysian banana), 683 nucleotides. The record is from RefSeq and is a predicted model, not a curated record. Lineage: Eukaryota; Viridiplantae; Streptophyta; Magnoliopsida; Zingiberales; Musaceae.